Molecule: ribosomal RNA, 253 nt
Filed under: uncultured bacterium
Lineage: Bacteria
Description: partial 16S ribosomal RNA
Rfam family: Bacterial small subunit ribosomal RNA
Source: RNAcentral
UACGUAGGGUCCAAGCGUUAAUCGGAAUUACUGGGCGUAAAGCGUGCGCAGGCGGUUAUGCAAGACAGAUGUGAAAUCCCCGGGCUCAACCUGGGAACUGCAUUUGUGACUGCAUGACUAGAGUACGGCAGAGGGGGAUGGAAUUCCGCGUGUAGCAGUGAAAUGCGUAGAUAUGCGGAGGAACACCGAUGGCGAAGGCAAUCCCCUGGGCCUGUACUGACGCUCAUGCACGAAAGCGUGGGGAGCAAACAGG